AACCAUUCUCACCUGCGGCUAGACCUGCGGAGGGAUCAUCAUUGAAUAAGAAACUUUUCCAAGCUUUUGAGGGGGGGGGGAUGAUUGGAAGAAGAGAAGAAAAGAAGCAAGUCGCGUUUUCUUGCGCGCACUACUCGCUCCUCUCUUGUUCCAUCUUUUCUUUCCCUCGGGGCUUGCAAACAACUUUGAUACCCAAAAAGAGUUUUACUCCCUCUCUUUGUCUUUGACUUUUUCAGCUUC
Molecule: unclassified non-coding RNA, 240 nt
Filed under: soil metagenome
Description: partial contains 5.8S ribosomal RNA, internal transcribed spacer 2, and large subunit ribosomal RNA
Source: RNAcentral